Molecule: long non-coding RNA, 1846 nt
Organism: Pipra filicauda (Wire-tailed manakin)
Lineage: Eukaryota; Metazoa; Chordata; Aves; Passeriformes; Pipridae
Exons: 3
Source: RefSeq, a predicted model, not a curated record
GGGUGAAGACAUAUGCCACUAAAGGGACAUAUCUCAUUACACUGACACAACAUCCUCUUGUGCAUCUAGCAUUACACAUUCUUGGAAAUUCCCCCCAUAACAUUUGUUUACAUGGCAUUUUGCAGGCAGGCACAUGAAAAUUCCACCCAAACUGAGCCAGCAGGACAUGUGCCAGCUCUGAAUGAAAAGCCAUACUGUUGCAUUUAGCACAUCAUCGAGCCUCAAAUGAUAAACUCCACUCAGCAUCUAAGAGACUAAACACCACUGCAUUCUUUUCCUGUGAAUGUGGCAAUUCCUAAAACUGAGGGAAGUAACAGCAUUUCAGCAGGGAAAGCCUGGACCUCAGGACACUCCCUACUUGGAGAGUGAAUCAAGGCUGCAUAUGCAGUACAAAAGGCUGUCUUCUGAAAGUACUCAGCUUGGCCAAAAAGCUGGAAGAAAAAUUUGAGCAAAGCCAGAAUUGGAGGAAGAAGAGUCUGGUUUCAUAGUCAAGGCUGAUAAGUGGUAAUCUGGAGCAUUUUUCUCUGGACCUGCCUCUGUAUAACACUUUUCUUUUAAUUUUAGCAAAUGCAAUACAAUGCCAAGUAUAUGGGGGGGAAAAACCAAACCAAGAAAAAAGGCUUGGGCAGCUGAACAUACAAAGUGCAUUAUAGCACUGAAUUGCAAGGCUUAAUUCUGAUCUAUUAAAUAUGGGACCUAUUAACCUGCUAAAAAUGUUCUGAAAAUAUUAUUGAUACUUGACUAAUAUGUGAGACUGCUUAGAGACCAUUGUGGCACCUUCCACAUAAGAAAUGAUCAGAAAGUUAAUAAAACUAUUUACUUAGCUAAUUUUUUAAAAAAACACAGUAAAUAUGGUCAGAUGUAGACAUUAAUUUGCUUGUUAUUUAAUCACCAGUUAUGGUAUACAGAAGUAGCACAGGAAAUAAAGGUAGCAUAAUGUAUUUGGCCCUAUGUGCAAAACUACUAUAUAUUUUAUUAAGGACCAUUUUAAGAAUGUUGAGUUCUAUUAACAACAAAAUCCAGAAUUCCAAACAGUUUAGCUGUUAGCACAGUCACCCUUGUUAGUCGUGAUUAAAUUUCAAAAACAGAAAAGCGACAGCAAUUCUGGGGAGGAAGGUCUUAUUUUUCUAUACCAUCAUUACCAAUGAAGUCAAAUCAUUAUUUUUAUAAAAUGAGGGUGAAAGCCUAAAGUUUUACAAAAGUUGCCUUCACUGAGAAAGAUACCUAUCACUUCCUUAAAAGUGUAGUGAGUAUUUUAUUCUUAAUCAAAAUGGGCUAUUUAUUCUGCCAGCCCCUGUAAUUUUAUAAUGUGUGAAAGUGUUUGUGUUUUCUACCAAAAGACUAUUCAAUGCCAUAAAUACAGUUGUUCCUACCUUUCCUCUUACCCUUAGAGAGUAAUUUUCUGACUUUCCUCAAUGUACAGAGUGGGGGAAAUGUGAAACAGGUAAACUAUAAGGCUAAAAAAAGGCUAAUAAGAGAAUAGUAAUUCAGAAGUUUGAUUUUGGUUUGGUGGGUUAUUUUUCACAGACAAUCGUAUGAUUUUUUUUCCAAAUCUUGGUUCAAGAUUUUUGAGAAGCAGGGCUUACUCUUCAUAUGUGCAUCCCUUUCCAAACUUCCAUAGACUGUAUCCAGGUAAGGAUAGGCCAUACUUCCAAAAUCAGAAUGAACUGAACCGAAACAGAGAUAAACAUAUGUGAUUGAAUGACAUACAAAGGAAAAUACAAGGAAAACCAAGCUGACACUUAACAUGUAACCACCAGACUCCAUUGCACAACACUGCACAACACCCUAUGCAAGGUGACUGCUUUUGUAACCAAGUUGCUUAAGCCACAGAGGAAUGAUCAAA